UGAUCGUUUAAAUGUUUGGGAAAUCGAUGUUUAAACGAUCCCUUAGAAAUAACGAUAUCAUUUGGACAAGAAUGAUAUUGUCGAGCGAUUGUGAUAAUAUCGUUUAAAAAGCUAGAAUCCGUUAAUCGAUUGAGAGAUUGCAGCUAUUACGCUUGGUUGAUGUCUCUGACCGCAAGCGAAAUAGCCCUAUCUCUUCUCGUUUUACUUUUAUGUCGAAUAGGAAAAUAGUUUUACAAAAACAAACAAU
This 247-nucleotide long non-coding RNA is filed under the name Medicago truncatula (barrel medic). Its description in RNAcentral is "long non-coding RNA (MTRU_LNC004344)". The record is from RNAcentral. Lineage: Eukaryota; Viridiplantae; Streptophyta; Magnoliopsida; Fabales; Fabaceae.